GCCUUCUUAGCUCAGUGGUAGAGCGCGUGGCUUUUAACCACGUGGUCGUGGGUUCUCGAUCCCCACAGACGGUG
This is a transfer RNA of Ipomoea nil (Japanese morning glory), 74 nucleotides long. It matches the Rfam family "tRNA". Rfam says of the family: Transfer RNA (tRNA) molecules are approximately 80 nucleotides in length. The record is from Rfam. NCBI's taxonomy places the organism in Eukaryota, Viridiplantae, Streptophyta, Magnoliopsida, Solanales, Convolvulaceae.